RNAcentral lists this unclassified non-coding RNA (345 nucleotides) under soil metagenome. RNAcentral describes it as "partial contains 5.8S ribosomal RNA, internal transcribed spacer 2, and large subunit ribosomal RNA". The stretch from base 1 to 120 matches the Rfam family "5.8S ribosomal RNA", at positions 35 to 154 of the family's 154-position model. The record is from RNAcentral.
GAUGAAGAACGCAGUGAAAUGCGAUACGUAAUGUGAAUUGCAGAAUUCAGUGAAUCAUCGAGUCUUUGAACGCACAUUGCGCCCCCUGGUAUUCCGGGGGGCAUGCCUGUCCGAGCGUCAUUGCUGCCCUCAAGCACGGCUUGUGUGUUGGGCCUCCGUCCUCCUCCCGGGGGACGGGCCCGAAAGGCAGCGGCGGCACCGCGUCCGGUCCUCGAGCGUAUGGGGCUUCGUCACCCGCUCUUGUAGGCCCGGCCGGCGCUUGCCGACACAUCAGUCUUUUUUCCAGGUUGACCUCGGAUCAGGUAGGGAUACCCGCUGAACUUAAGCAUAUCAAUAAGCGGAGGA